AAGGGAGACCUAAUUCAGGUAAAAGACGAAAAAAAGUAGUCGCUACCAAGAAUCAAUCCCAAAAGGUCGGAGCGAGGCGAAAUUGGCUUUCAAACUAGGUUCUGGGUUCAAACAAGACCUGAAUCAGGAACAAGGGCUAUUAGCUCAGGUGGUUAGAGCGCACCCCUGAUAAGGGUGAGGUCCCUGGUUCGAGUCCAGGAUGGCCCACCUGCACAGGUGGCAAAAACAAGAGAAGCGAGGAAUCAGCACCUUAUCUUACUUAUAUAGUAAGAGAGAAUGCUGGCUCUGAGUAAAGAGUCCAGAGGAACCUUGAAAACUGCAUAGAGCUAGGUGAAAAAGCCAAAAAAGAAGACCGCAAGGUCAAGCUAAUAAGGGCUAACGGUGGAUACCUAGGCAC
RNAcentral lists this transfer RNA (397 nucleotides) under uncultured Microcystis sp. Its description in RNAcentral is "partial contains 16S-23S ribosomal RNA intergenic spacer, and 23S ribosomal RNA". The stretch from base 134 to 207 matches the Rfam family "tRNA". The record is from RNAcentral. Lineage: Bacteria; Bacillati; Cyanobacteriota; Cyanophyceae; Chroococcales; Microcystaceae.